Molecule: ribosomal RNA, 672 nt
Filed under: uncultured bacterium
Lineage: Bacteria
Description: bacterial SSU rRNA
Rfam family: Bacterial small subunit ribosomal RNA
Source: RNAcentral
GUCGAGCGGUAGCACAGGAGAGCUUGCUCUCUGGGUGACGAGCGGCGGACGGGUGAGUAAUGUCUGGGAAACUGCCUGAUGGAGGGGGAUAACUACUGGAAACGGUAGCUAAUACCGCAUANNNUCUACGGACCAAAGUGGGGGACCUUCGGGCCUCAUGCCAUCAGAUGUGCCCAGAUGGGAUUAGCUAGUAGGUGGGGUAAUGGCUCACCUAGGCGACGAUCCCUAGCUGGUCUGAGAGGAUGACCAGCCACACUGGAACUGAGACACGGUCCAGACUCCUACGGGAGGCAGCAGUGGGGAAUAUUGCACAAUGGGCGCAAGCCUGAUGCAGCCAUGCCGCGUGUGUGAAGAAGGCCUUCGGGUUGUAAAGCACUUUCAGCGAGGAGGAAGGGNNNNGUGUUAAUAGCACUGUGCAUUGACGUUACUCGCAGAAGAAGCACCGGCUAACUCCGUGCCAGCAGCCGCGGUAAUACGGAGGGUGCAAGCGUUAAUCGGAAUUACUGGGCGUAAAGCGCACGCAGGCGGUUUGUUAAGUCAGAUGUGAAAUCCCCGCGCUUAACGUGGGAACUGCAUUUGAAACUGGCAAGCUAGAGUCUUGUAGAGGGGGGUAGAAUUCCAGGUGUAGCGGUGAAAUGCGUAGAGAUCUGGAGGAAUACCGGUGGCGAAGGC